CCUGCUGAGAUGUCAACACGUUGGACCGUUGUCCCACAGCACUCAUUUCAAACCACAUGGAAGAACAGCUCGUCCUGCAGCCACUGAACUGAACUCCUCCAGACACCAGAGAGAUGCUGAAGUUAUGGGAUCACGGGUGGUUGAACAUACCUGUAUGUAGUGAAUGUGUGUGCUGUUAUUACUUGUAUUAGUGAGACAGGAGUGGGUCAGAUGUCGUGGUGUGCACUCGGGCUGGGCGGCAUACGGGUUGAACAGCUGCACACUCCGUCAUGCAGCGUGCAGAUAGAUAUCUUGUUCUCUGCUCACCGACGGGGCGCAGCAGUCUGAGCUACUUGCUACUACUUAGUCCGUCUUCACUGACAUUUGCAUUUAAUGAAUUAACUUUGAGGCGUCCCAACAACAUCCAGCAGGCUUCAACCUCAUGAAGCUUGUAAAAGUCGGACUCUGACACUUGAGCAAAGAUCUUCUUCCAAAACGGGUUCCUCAGGUUGAGGGUUAACGUACGAGUUCAAUUAGCGCACUAAUGCAAAAUACGGUUCCCUGUUUCCCAGAUUACAGGGGGGAGGUUCUCUGUGAUGGAGCAGAUUUAAUGUGGUGCAGCCUAUUUGAGACAAACAUUUGCAUAUGGAGCAAACGUACCUGUUGGUUCUUUUGAUUUCUCCCUGAAAUACAAAAGCAAGAAAGGUAUCAGCUUAAACAAUAAGGCUGUGAAGGCAACAAUGGAACAAAGUAAUGUCAGCCAAUCAGAUGAGGGUUGCAAAGACAAGUACUAACUUUUGAUCCAGAGGACAACCAGUGUUCCUAUUAGUAACAUUACAAGUACAACUACAGGUACAGCUAUUAACCCGUAAAGGCCUCUUGGAGCAGCUCCACAAACAGUGUUACUGGUCGGGUUUCCUCCUUUGACCUCCACUUGGUUUUCUGAGCAACUGUCAAAAAAGAGAAAUGAAGAAGAGCUUUAGUGCUUUUGGUGUUAAAAACGGACCAUUACCAGGAACGCUUGUAGAUGUAUUGAAAGUGACCAAAUGAAACGGGCCUGGGGGGUUGGUGACGUCUUGAAUCUCCCGAUGGGGGGUUGGUCCAUCUCAGGGGAAACUUGACUACUGGUCAAGGUAAUAAACGUAUAAGCAUAGUGGGAUCACUAUGCUUGUACGUUUAUUACAGCACACUUUUUACAGACAUUCUUUAACAAACAAGGUCUUACGUGGUCCAAAGUGAACAAUUCACACCCUCCAGUGAAAAACUGCCUGCGGGACAAGGUUCACACGUUGUGUCAGUUCUUCUGGUCCCUUGGAGAAACAGACAAAGCUGAGAUGAACGACACAGGAACCCAACGACCAGCAUCAUGAAUCAGAUCCAUGUGUUCAUCAAGGGAGUGCUCAUGCACACUCGUACCCGAGACCUGAUGACGUUCACGCUACCCGAGAGGCUCAAUAAAUCCUGCUGUAAGUGACCUGAGGAGGCCAGUUGGAGUAUAGAGAUCAUGUUUACUGCAGCUGUACUUAGAAGAACCGUUGCUUAUCCUCGUAUACGUCGUGGUGUCUGCAUGCUGAAUCUAGUGAAAGAGUUCAGGCCUCAGAGACCAGACUGGAGGAGACCUAGAAGGUGUGCUGGACAUGGACAUGAGUCACAGACGUGCCUGAGCUGUGGCCAAAGAGAUCAAUAACCAGCUGCACCACCACGAGCCGUGGACGUAGUCACUGUGUGACUGGAGUUUUUCUCACCAGGCUCUUUGACCCUGUGACCAGGUUUACAGUCUGAAUGUCUGCGUGCCGAACGGCAUUCUUUAUCUUCUAUCAGGUCCGUGCAGAAGUGACCAGCGAUGACGUCACAGACGGUGUCACUUGUUGAUGUGCAGUUCUGUUUGGCAAAGAGACCACGGCCUGAAAACCAACACAGACUCAUUAUAUUAUAGUUAAACAAAGAUGCUGGACAGCGGAUUGCAACAAAUGAACUGAAUGAUAUGAGACGGACAGAAGAGCAGAGAGGUCGAUGGAAAACUACCUUACAGCUUAAAGAGAAAGAGCUGUAUUAUAUGAAGUCUGUCACAAAAUAAAAACUGAAUGUAAACGCAGGGAAUUGACAUUGUGAAACGUGACAGACAGGUAAGUAAAUGUACUAAGAAGAUAAAGCAAGUCACUUUGCAAUUACAUCACUCAUUUUUCCACUUAAAGACAACGUUGGUGGACAUUGAUACAUUUACUGUAUUGUUAGUUCAUAAUGUCAAUAAGCUGUAUCACUGAUAAUAAACUGUACAGAUAUACAAUGUGCUGCAUUCAAGGCUCCAUAUAAAACACUUACCUGCUACAACA
Molecule: non-coding RNA, 2312 nt
Organism: Gasterosteus aculeatus aculeatus (three-spined stickleback)
Lineage: Eukaryota; Metazoa; Chordata; Actinopteri; Perciformes; Gasterosteidae
Source: RefSeq, a predicted model, not a curated record